CAGAUGAGAAGCUUGCUUCUCUGAUGUUAGCGGCGGACGGGUGAGUAACACGUGGGUAACCUACCUAUAAGACUGGGAUAACUCCGGGAAACCGGGGCUAAUACCGGAUAAUAUAUUGAACCGCAUGGUUCAAUGUUGAAAGACGGUUUCGGCUGUCACUUAUAGAUGGACCCGCGCCGUAUUAGCUAGUUGGUAAGGUAACGGCUUACCAAGGCAACGAUACGUAGCCGACCUGAGAGGGUGAUCGGCCACACUGGAACUGAGACACGGUCCAGACUCCUACGGGAGGCAGCAGUAGGGAAUCUUCCGCAAUGGGCGAAAGCCUGACGGAGCAACGCCGCGUGAGUGAUGAAGGUCUUAGGAUCGUAAAACUCUGUUGUUAGGGAAGAACAAAUUUGUUAGUAACUGAACAAGUCUUGACGGUACCUAACCAGAAAGCCACGGCUAACUACGUGCCAGCAGCCGCGGUAAUACGUAGGUGGCAAGCGUUAUCCGGAAUUAUUGGGCGUAAAGCGCGCGUAGGCGGUUUCUUAAGUCUGAUGUGAAAGCCCACGGCUCAACCGUGGAGGGUCAUUGGAA
Molecule: ribosomal RNA, 579 nt
Filed under: Staphylococcus sp.
Lineage: Bacteria; Bacillati; Bacillota; Bacilli; Caryophanales; Staphylococcaceae
Description: bacterial SSU rRNA
Rfam family: Bacterial small subunit ribosomal RNA
Source: RNAcentral